Molecule: long non-coding RNA, 1028 nt
Organism: Echinops telfairi (small Madagascar hedgehog)
Lineage: Eukaryota; Metazoa; Chordata; Mammalia; Afrosoricida; Tenrecidae
Exons: 2
Source: RefSeq, a predicted model, not a curated record
GACGCGUAACAUUUUGAAUGAUGGUUGGCAUACCUUGCUCUUUCCCACUGAUUGUUUUUUAAUACCUGUUAGGUACUCCAGUAAUAGUAAUUCACGAAAACCAGACAUAGUGUGUUGGCUAGUCUGUCUCUACAAAAUAGGUUGCAUUCUUACAUAGGCAACAACAUAGGACAAUUAUAACCUAUUUUCUGGAGAUUAUUAACAUUUAAAAAGAAACGUUGGCAUGUAGCUGACAGUGAAAAACCCUAAGUACAUUCUUGCUUUCUGUGUUUCUUCUUUUCUUGUUUACAUAGUUUUCUCUGGUGGCUGCGGUGGUAAGUGCUCAGCUGCAAGUGGCAAGUGGUGAGCAGUAUGGGACCAGUGACCCUAAAGAAGAUCUAAGUCUGCUUCCUUUGAGAUUUACGAGUGGCUGGUGGUUUCAAACUGCUGAUCUUGCAGUUAGCAGCCCAAAGUAUAACAACUAUGAUACCAGGACUCCUAUAUUUGCCAAAGAAAGACAGACUUGCCAAAUGUGUGAAUGAAUAUAUUUUCCACAUCCCCCAAAUCUUACUACAAGAAAUUCCCUAUCAAGAAAAAGGAAGGAGUUUUCAACCCGUUGAGUCUUUUUUCCUAUUUGAUUGACCGUUUCAUUGUUCUAUUAUUUCUCUACAACUAGAGUUUCUAUGAGGCCCAUAUCAUUUAUGUAAAAAAAGUUUCGCUUUGUUUUUUAUUAUAUGAAUUCUCUAUUAGUUUUAGAACUCAUUUUAGAAUGACAUAGCUAAUGACAAUUAUUCUUCUUGUAAUAACUUAAAAGAAAGUAGGUAUGGAGUUUAUAUUUGCAACAAUGUUUAAUUUCACAGAAUGCCAACCAACUUUUAUUAGAUAAGUGUCAUUUCACUCUCACUGAAAGAGAAGACUGUGUUUCUGGUAGCUUAAAAAUAUCAACUAACAUUCAGCAAUCAAAGGCAUUUUUAUGAUUGUAAUUCUUUACAGUUUCUAUUUAUGAGAUGAGUAAAUGUGUCCAUUGGAAUAAAAACGAAGAGAUACUA